UCAUUGAGAUUAUGUCGAUGAAAUGCGCCCAAAUUUUCUCGGUGUGUGAAGAUUAAUACCAAUAAAGCAGCUGAAAUGUUUCAAAAUACCUACCAGCAAAAUCUCUCUCGUCGCCUUUCAUCACGGUCAAGGUUACACAUACUGAAGCCUUGACCAUCGAAACUCAUCACAGGCUACGAACAAUGCAGCCCCAUUGUACCACUAUCGAAGCCGGCGUGCGGUCGCAUGAGCAAUGAUCCAAAAGUUUACCAAAAAGUGCAUGCUCCGAAGUGAACUAAGUGUUCAAUAGUGCGAUUAAACACUCCGUUAUCGGUGAGAACGUCAAAUACUUGCAGCAUCCAACAGUUUGGCCCUGAUCCACGUACUCAAGAGGGAUCUAAUUCUACUAGGGCGAACAAUAGAGGUAAUUCAAACAAUGUUUGCCAAGCUACCCAUCCCUAAUUGUGCUCUACUAGGUGUCAUUGCAUGAUCGACGAGUUAUCAGACGCCAGGUGGAUGGUUCAAAAUCCGGUUUACCGUAGAUUAUCCCAGAGCACGGACACUGCCAAUAAUAGCAGCAUCAAAUUCGACCUGGACCGUUUUGUGGCAGAAGUCCCACUCAAGACAGCAUAAAAAGGCCUUCAUCAGGUAAAACGACCCAUCAAUGCAAUUUCCUAUCGAUGGGCUAACGCCAAUCGCCUCAAGAGGGAUCUAAUUCUACUAGGGCGAACAAUAGAGGUAAUUCAAACAAUGUUUGCCAAGCUACCCAUCCCUAAUUGUGCUCUACUAGGUGUCAUUGCAUGAUCGACGAGUUAUCAGACGCCAGGUGGAUGGUUCAAAAUCCGGGUUACCGUAGAUUAUCCCAGAGCACGGACACUGCCAAUAAUAGCAGCAUCAAAUUCGACCUGGACCGUUUUGUGGCAGAAGUCCCACUCAAGACAGCAUAAAAAGGCCUUCAUCAGAGGGCCUUUUAUUUGCAGGCUCAAAUAGGCACUGCACUCCACGCGACGUUCUCAUCGCUCAGCACCCCAGCUACCUGCACGCUCUCCGUCAGUCGGUCAAAUUCUGGGAGGAAGGUCCUACACGAGUGCCAGUCGAGAGAGAUCAUGACCAAAUUGCAUCAAAGGUGCAUCCACCUGCGACAACAUUGAGCAGGCAGCGCGACAACCCGCACGUACAACUUGUUGCAACCCUAGUGCGACUGGGACGUGCUACAUUCUCGAGCUCUCAACAACGGUGUGACAAGCCACGGUGGCCGUAUCACCAACAGUUGUAGCGCGACAGCCGCGGUGCAGCAAAGUGCAACGCAGCGAUCGGGUGAAGGCCUUCCUGGUCGUGUAGCACCCGGUGGUGUGCGACGAAGCCAACGUGGAGCAGAAUGCAUCGAUGGUAGCAGCACGGGGCCCCCAACGAUACUGUUAGUGAGUAGCAAUGAGAACCUAGCAUAAGCUUGAAACAUUGUACCGGUAGAUCGAAGGUUUGCGAAAAUAGAAGUAUGAGAUGUUAAAUGUUACGUUCCAUGGUAGCUCUAAUUUCUACCUUGCCGUUAUCUUUUGAUUGAGUCAUUUUUUUUGGUUCCAUCGGCGCUAGUGCACUAUGCAAACAGUGGCUAGCCGGCCUUAUCCGUCAAUCUGAACCAAGAGUUUUAUUAGAAGGUGCACCGACGCCGGGAGGACCACUUUCUGUUUGUAGUACUGUUGGUCAUAUAUUCCAUUGAGGCACUACCCGAGUUUUAAAGCGUUGUAUCCUUCUCGAAGCUUUUCCCCUCGGGAGUUGGCAAAUUAAACACAAUAAGGGAAAAUUGUUACAAGAUUUGCGAA
RNAcentral lists this long non-coding RNA (1799 nucleotides) under Aedes aegypti (yellow fever mosquito). RNAcentral describes it as "lncRNA AAEL020726". Lineage: Eukaryota; Metazoa; Arthropoda; Insecta; Diptera; Culicidae. The record is from RNAcentral.